Molecule: long non-coding RNA, 349 nt
Organism: Apis dorsata (giant honeybee)
Lineage: Eukaryota; Metazoa; Arthropoda; Insecta; Hymenoptera; Apidae
Exons: 2
Source: RefSeq, a predicted model, not a curated record
AUUUUCCAAUUAAACGAUACAGCGACGACAAGCGUAAGCGUAUUUUACCUCAUAAAAAUUCCUCGAAUGUUUGGUGUGGAUGGAGGGCAACAAAGGGAUCAGUAUAGGACUGCGACUCCUCCGCGAUAAAGGGGACGUAAUCACGAGGGGUGCGAAGGCCUCCGAAGCCAGAUCAAGUCGCAAGAUCAAGGAUAGAAUUGCGAACAAGGAAGCGAGGAUCCAGGGUUAAUAACGUCGAAUAUGGUGAUUCCUGAGCGGUGGAUCGGAGGUGGAUCGUUAAUGGAAGAAGGCCCGUCGUGAUUUCAAUCAGCCUGACCUCCGAUUUCCGACUUCCCUGUACGUGAUUCGG